Molecule: ribosomal RNA, 468 nt
Filed under: uncultured bacterium
Lineage: Bacteria
Description: partial 16S ribosomal RNA
Rfam family: Bacterial small subunit ribosomal RNA
Source: RNAcentral
GACGAACGCUGGCGGCGUGCUUAACACAUGCAAGUCGAACGGACAGGCCAUGCUUUUGUUGGGUGCUCGAGUGGCGAACAGGUGAGUAACACGUGAGUAACCCGCCCUUGUCUUUGGGAUAACUCCAGGAAACUGGGGCUAUAAUCGGAUAGAAGCUACUGCUGCACGGGGGGGGUUGGAAAGUUUCGGCGGUUGGGGAUGGACUCGCGGCUUCUCAGCUUGAUGGUGGGGUAGUGGCUUACCAAGGCUUUGAGGGGUAGCCGGCCUGGGAGGGCUACCGGCCACAUUGGGACUGAGAGACGGCCCAGACGCCUACGGGAGGCAGCAGUGGGGAGUAUGGCACAAUGGGGGGACGUGAGAUAUAGCAACGUCGCGUGCGGGAUGACGGCCUUCGGGGUGUAAACCGCUGUGGACGGUGACGAAGAGUGAGUGACGGUAAUGGGUAAGGAAGCACCGGCUAACUACGUG